RNAcentral lists this ribosomal RNA (832 nucleotides) under Salinicoccus roseus. RNAcentral's name for it is "bacterial SSU rRNA". It matches the Rfam family "Bacterial small subunit ribosomal RNA", at positions 75 to 897 of the family's 1533-position model. The record is from RNAcentral. Lineage: Bacteria; Bacillati; Bacillota; Bacilli; Caryophanales; Staphylococcaceae.
GGAGCUUGCUCCUGUGACGCGAGUGGCGGACGGGUGAGUAACACGUAGGCAACCUGCCCACCAGACCGGGAUAACCACGGGAAACCGUGGCUAAUACCGGAUAAUCCUUCCCCACACAAGUGGGGGAGUUGAAAGGCGGCUUCGGCUGUCACUGGUGGAUGGGCCUGCGGCGCAUUAGCUGGUUGGUGGGGUAACGGCCCACCAAGGCGACGAUGCGUAGCCGACCUGAGAGGGUGAUCGGCCACACUGGGACUGAGACACGGCCCAGACUCCUACGGGAGGCAGCAGUAGGGAAUCUUCCGCAAUGGACGAAAGUCUGACGGAGCAACGCCGCGUGAGUGAAGAAGGGUUUCGGCUCGUAAAACUCUGUUGUCAGGGAAGAACGCCGACGGGAGUAACUGCCCGUCGGGUGACGGUACCUGACCAGAAAGCCACGGCUAACUACGUGCCAGCAGCCGCGGUAAUACGUAGGUGGCAAGCGUUAUCCGGAAUUAUUGGGCGUAAAGCGCGCGUAGGCGGUUCGUUAAGUCUGAUGUGAAAGCCCCCGGCUCAACCGGGGAGGGUCAUUGGAAACUGGCGAACUUGAGUGCAGAAGAGGAGAGUGGAAUUCCAUGUGUAGCGGUGAAAUGCGCAGAGAUAUGGAGGAACACCAGUGGCGAAGGCGGCUCUCUGGUCUGUAACUGACGCUGAGUGCGAAAGCGUGGGGAUCAAACAGGAUUAGAUACCCUGGUAGUCCACGCCGUAAACGAUGAGUGCUAAGUGUUAGGGGUUUCCGCCCCUUAUGCUGCAGCUAACGCAUUAAGCACUCCCCUGGGGGUACGCCGCAGGUUGA